ACCAGACUCCUACGGGAGGCAGCAGUGGGGAAUAUUGCACAAUGGGGGAAACCCUGAUGCAGCGACGCCGCGUGUGGGAAGACGGUCCUCUGGAUUGUAAACCACUGUCCCCAGGGACGAAGAUGACGGUACCUGGGGAGGAAGCUCCGGCUAACUACGUGCCAGCAGCCGCGGUAAUACGUAGGGAGCGAGCGUUGUCCGGAAUUACUGGGUGUAAAGGGAGCGUAGACGGCAGUGCAAGUCUGGAGUGAAAGGCGGGGGCUCAACCCCCGGACUGCUCUGGAAACUGUACGGCUGGAGUGUCGGAGAGGCAGGCGGAAUUCCUAGUGUAGCGGUGAAAUGCGUAGAUAUUAGGAGGAACACCAGUGGCGAAGGCGGCCUGCUGGACGAUGACUGACGUUGAGGCUCGAAAGCGUGGGGAGCAAACAGGAUUAGAUCCCCGAGUA
This 446-nucleotide ribosomal RNA is filed under the name uncultured bacterium. RNAcentral describes it as "bacterial SSU rRNA". It matches the Rfam family "Bacterial small subunit ribosomal RNA", at positions 330 to 792 of the family's 1533-position model. The record is from RNAcentral.